RNAcentral lists this ribosomal RNA (435 nucleotides) under uncultured bacterium. Its description in RNAcentral is "bacterial SSU rRNA". It matches the Rfam family "Bacterial small subunit ribosomal RNA", at positions 62 to 543 of the family's 1533-position model. The record is from RNAcentral.
UCGAACGAGACCUUCGGGUCUAGUGGCGCACGGGUGCGUAACGCGUGGGAAUCUGCCCUUGGGUUCGGGAUAACAGUUGGAAACGACUGCUAAUACCGGAUGAUGACUUCGGUCCAAAGAUUUAUCGCCCAGGGAUGAGCCCGCGUCGGAUUAGCUAGUUGGUGAGGUAAAGGCUCACCAAGGCGACGAUCCGUAGCUGGUCUGAGAGGAUGAUCAGCCACACUGGGACUGAGACACGGCCCAGACUCCUACGGGAGGCAGCAGUGGGGAAUAUUGGACAAUGGGCGAAAGCCUGAUCCAGCAAUGCCGCGUGAGUGAUGAAGGCCUUAGGGUUGUAAAGCUCUUUUACCCGGGAUGAUAAUGACAGUACCGGGAGAAUAAGCUCCGGCUAACUCCGUGCCAGCAGCCGCGGUAAUACGGAGGGAGCUAGCGUUG